ACAAACGACUCUCGGCAACGGAUAUCUCGGCUCACGCAUCGAUGAAGAACGUAGCAAAAUGCGAUACUUGGUGUGAAUUGCAGAAUCCCGUGAACCAUCGAGUUUUUGAACGCAAGUUGCGCCCGAAGCCUUUUGGCCGAGGGCACGUCUCCCUGGGCGUCACGC
Molecule: ribosomal RNA, 165 nt
Filed under: Achillea vermicularis
Lineage: Eukaryota; Viridiplantae; Streptophyta; Magnoliopsida; Asterales; Asteraceae
Description: 5.8S ribosomal RNA
Rfam family: 5.8S ribosomal RNA
About the family: 5.8S ribosomal RNA (5.8S rRNA) is a component of the large subunit of the eukaryotic ribosome.
Source: RNAcentral